This 255-nucleotide ribosomal RNA is filed under the name uncultured bacterium. Its description in RNAcentral is "partial 16S ribosomal RNA". It matches the Rfam family "Bacterial small subunit ribosomal RNA", at positions 524 to 776 of the family's 1533-position model. The record is from RNAcentral.
UACGGGGGGGAGCAAACGUUGUUCGGAAUCACUGGGCGUAAAGGGCGUGUAGGCGGCUGGAUAAGUGGGAUGUUAAAUCCCCCCGGCUCAACCGGGGACCUGCAUCUCAUACUGUUCAGCUCGAGCACAUCAGAGGAGACUGGAAUUCCCGGUGUAGCGGUGAAAUGCGUAGAUAUCAGGAGGAACACCAGUGGUGUAGACGGCGUUCUGGACGGUUACUGACGCUGAGAUACGAAAGCGUGGGGAGCGAACAGG